GAAUGCGAAUUGUGGUUGGUUUUGCAAAAGCUGAUUAGGGUUUGGUUUGUGGCCCCGUGUUUU
RNAcentral lists this transfer RNA (63 nucleotides) under Echinococcus ortleppi. Its description in RNAcentral is "tRNA-Cys". The record is from RNAcentral. Lineage: Eukaryota; Metazoa; Platyhelminthes; Cestoda; Cyclophyllidea; Taeniidae.